AUUGAACGUUGGCGGCAUGCCUUACACAUGCAAGUCGAACGGUAACAGGUCUUCGGAUGCUGACGAGUGGCGAACGGGUGAGUAAUACAUCGGAACGUGCCUAGUAGUGGGGGAUAACUACUCGAAAGAGUGGCUAAUACCGCAUGAGAUCUACGGAUGAAAGCAGGGGAUCGCAAGACCUUGUGCUACUAGAGCGGCCGAUGGCAGAUUAGGUGGUUGGUGGGAUAAAAGCUUACCAAGCCGACGAUCUGUAGCUGGUCUGAGAGGACGAUCAGACACACUGGGACUGAGACACGGCCCAGACUCCUACGGGAGGCAGCAGUGGGGAAUUUUGUACAAUGGGCGAAAGCCUGAUCCAGCAAUGCCGCGUGCAGGAUGAAGGCCUUCGGGUUGUAAACUGCUUUUGUACGGAACGAAAAGCCCCGGGUUAAUACCCUGGGGUCAUGACGGUACCGUAAGAAUAAGCACCGGCUAACUACGUGCCAGCAGCCGCGGUAA
Molecule: ribosomal RNA, 498 nt
Filed under: uncultured bacterium
Lineage: Bacteria
Description: partial 16S ribosomal RNA
Rfam family: Bacterial small subunit ribosomal RNA
Source: RNAcentral